Molecule: ribosomal RNA, 124 nt
Filed under: Glaesserella parasuis
Lineage: Bacteria; Pseudomonadati; Pseudomonadota; Gammaproteobacteria; Pasteurellales; Pasteurellaceae
Description: partial 16S ribosomal RNA
Rfam family: Bacterial small subunit ribosomal RNA
Source: RNAcentral
GUGGGUUGUACCAGAAGUAGAUAGCUUAACUGAAAGGGGGGCGUUUACCACGGUAUGAUUCAUGACUGGGGUGAAGUCGUAACAAGGUAACCGUAGGGGAACCUGCGGUUGGAUCACCUCCUUA